Molecule: long non-coding RNA, 2094 nt
Organism: Lolium perenne
Lineage: Eukaryota; Viridiplantae; Streptophyta; Magnoliopsida; Poales; Poaceae
Source: RefSeq, a predicted model, not a curated record
CCCCGAUGGGUGAAAAAUAUCUGCCCCGCAUCCACACCCCUGUCUCCGUGCUCCUCCCUCUUCAGCCGUCGCCGGCGCCCUCCACCGAGCCGUCGCCGUGCCCUCUUCUCUCUCCCACCGUCCCUCACCACCAUCCCCCCUCUCCGAUCUGUGGUGUGGUGCGAGCACGACGGCUCGUGCGCUGCGAGUGGUGAGGUUUUCCUCGAGCUGCGGGCGAGCUCGGCGGCCGAGCCCGGGUGGCCAGAGGCGCGCUCGGGGAAGGGCGCGCUCUUGCCGGUCGGCUUCCAUGGAGGGAUCACGCCGCCGGUCGGCUUCCAGGGAGGGCGCCUCUGGUGGUGCACGGACCUGGACGCUAACGCAGUGCUAAACGCUCCCAGGCAGAGUGAACCUUCUCCUAUGAGAGAAAGGCUCGUGGUUUGAACCGGGAUUGGUCUUUGGGGUACAGAGGUGGUCGUUUGGCUUGAGUGGUGCAGCUUGGAGGAACGGAGGUGGAGAACGAUAUGGGCAAACAAUGCUGCAUCAGCAUUAAGAGUUUUGUUUUGUGUAGUACAGCUCAUCAACUGGCCAUGCGAGGCGCGACGACUGCGGCCGGCAGCACGAGGGUGUGGGGCUAAAAGGUUAGUACCACCGUUCGUCCCAUGUAGAUUGUUUAUUACUUUGUUUAUUCAGCAACUGAUAUGCACGUUCACAUGUUAGAACAUGGAUAGGCACUUCUGGAUUAUGCCGAAAGUAUUUAAUUUGAAGCAUAUGUUGCUUACGAUUUGAGAUGAGUCUGUGUGCAACAAUUAGAGCAGAGAAGGACCAAUGUUUUGUGCAUACGACCGUAGCUGCCAAAGUUACUUAUAUGCUUGCUUGACUUGGUGGAGUUUUAUGUGCCAUUUGGUGUUAGCUUCCCUAAUUCUCUUAUGGACUUUUCUUCAGCAGGCUGCUACAAAGGAGCAUGCUUGUAAGUUUUUUUUCUUCUUCGGCACAACUGAACCUUUUUAUUCUAAGCAUGUUUCACGUCCUGCUUACCAUUUUUGUUUGUAAAAUCUGAAACUAAUUUUUUCAGGUUGUGGGAACUGUUCAUAACUUAACUUAUGUUUGCGAUGGUAUGAGAUGGAGAGUAGGACCAUGAAUUCUUUCAAUUGUGGCAAUUCGCCUGCUUGCUAUGAAUAAACACUGAUCCCAGCCUAUGUUGUUGCCCCUCAUCUUCUCGUGAUUUUUCUCUGCAUGCUUAAUUAGUCAAGCUAUAAUUUUACUAGCAAGUAACAUAUUUCACUUGUACCCCAUUCAGAUGAAUCUUUUCUGCUUCAUUUCUUUUUCUAUUAGAUUUGUAUCUUCUCCUAUAACUGUGCCCACCAACAAAUAGAGAUUCUACUAUUUAAAAGGCUACCUAUUCUGUUGUUCCAUCUCUGUUAAUGGUCUGGGCAUACAUAUCACUGUUUAGGCUAUAGAAUUGUUGGAUCUCCUUGCCAGUAUGAUUUCUAGCUUGCGCGCAAUUUUUUAUUGACAAGGUCAAUAAAAUGCUUAGCAAUAGAAUGUAUUUUUUGUUGUUGUAUAAUUCCAUUAAAACUCUGGAUUUAUGGGAUUCUAUUUUAGCAUACAGUUUUCCUUUCUAAAUUGCUGUUUGAGAUGCUUCUGGUUUUCUGAAAGAGUGCGUAGGAAAUGUUGAUACUGUGGUUUUAUUUUUCAGAUGUGCACUUUGCUUGUUGUCCAUCUUUUAGUGUUCCUUUCCUUCUGUUAGUGAAGACCUUUCUAAUAGGAGUAAGAUGUGGUAUAUUUGAUUCAUGGGUUUUAUAUGGUAAAUGAGAUCUGUAAGAUGACGUACCAUUGCUGGUUGUCAGUACAAAUGUAGGUACUAAAAGGGAGUAUGGAGCUUCUGUAGAAAGAGUUGCUUGCCUAUUUAGAUUAAUUAGAUUCAGGCAAACUUAAAUUAAGGAGCUCACUGGUGGGUCAACAGGAAUAUGGAAGAAUCAAUCUAAAUGAAUUGAUCCUAGCCAUGAACAUUAUGUUCCCCGAGUUAGAGUUCGCUUCGUGCUCCGUGUGCCGCAAGUCCUCUAAGCACGAUGGGUGCCGAUUUCGGUGUUCGGGCAAAGACUGCGAUUCUUCUGA